RNAcentral lists this ribosomal RNA (253 nucleotides) under uncultured bacterium. RNAcentral describes it as "partial 16S ribosomal RNA". It matches the Rfam family "Bacterial small subunit ribosomal RNA", at positions 524 to 776 of the family's 1533-position model. The record is from RNAcentral.
UACAGAGGUCCCAAGCGUUGUUCGGAUUCAUUGGGCGUAAAGGGUGCGUAGGUGGCGCUGUAAGUCGGGUGUGAAAUUUCGGAGCUUAACUCCGAAACUGCAUUCGAUACUGCGGUGCUUGAGGACUGGAGAGGAGACUGGAAUUCAUGGUGUAGCAGUGAAAUGCGUAGAGAUCAUGAGGAAGACCAGUGGCGAAGGCGGGUCUCUGGACAGUUCCUGACGCUGAGGCACGAAGGUCAGGGGAGCAAACGGG